This 222-nucleotide long non-coding RNA is filed under the name Musa acuminata (dwarf banana). Its description in RNAcentral is "long non-coding RNA (MACU_LNC001271)". Lineage: Eukaryota; Viridiplantae; Streptophyta; Magnoliopsida; Zingiberales; Musaceae. The record is from RNAcentral.
CCGACAAAAUAUCGACAAUAUUAAAAAUUUUUUUUUUUCCAACACAACUAACCCAGGAUCCAAACACACAUUUGAGGUCACUAAGAAAACAUUCAGAUCAAAAAUUUCACUUCUAUAAUCUACCAAUUCAUAACCCUGUGCAAUUCAUAAACAUAGCACACAUCACUCGAUAAUUCAUACAAUCUGAACUCGACUCAUCAAAAUAAAAACCACAAUAUAAAU